UAUCUCAGUUCGGAUUGGAGGCUGAAACCCGCCUCCAUGAAGUUGGAUUCGCUAGUAAUCGCGCAUCAGCCAUGGCGCGGUGAAUACGUUCCCGGGCCUUGUACACACCGCCCGUCAAGCCAUGGGAGCCGGGGGUGCCUGAAGUUCGUUACCGUAAGGAUCGACCUAGGGCAAAACUGGUGACUGGGGCUAAGUCGUAACAAGGUACC
Molecule: ribosomal RNA, 209 nt
Filed under: uncultured bacterium
Lineage: Bacteria
Description: partial 16S ribosomal RNA
Rfam family: Bacterial small subunit ribosomal RNA
Source: RNAcentral